AUAUGGCCGCGGCGCGCCGGGGGCUGGCGGGCGCGCUGGUGAAGUGCUGGAAGAGGUCGAAGGGGUUGGCGCCGGCGAGGCGCGGCGUGGCCGGCGGCAGGAGGUCGAACGGGUUCGGCGACGACGGCGCCGUCAGGAACGGGCUGCUGCCCCUCGCCGCCGCUCCCUCGACGGAGCCGAACGGGGUGGCCGGCUCCGGGAGGCGGCCGUGCGGGCUGGACGGCGCCGUGGCGUACGGGCUCGCGGCCGCGCUGUCGGGCCGGUGCGGCGUCGGCGAGGCGGGGCGCAUCAUGACCUCCAUUUCUUGACUUGGCUUCUUGGGCACGGACGGAGAGCUCGCGGUGGCGAUGGGUUUUUAAGCGGAGAGUCGUGGAGAUGGAGGGAAG
Molecule: long non-coding RNA, 386 nt
Filed under: Hordeum vulgare
Lineage: Eukaryota; Viridiplantae; Streptophyta; Magnoliopsida; Poales; Poaceae
Description: long non-coding RNA (HVUL_LNC017991)
Source: RNAcentral